UAGCCUAGUGGGUAAGGCCAUGGAUUGCCAAUCCGGAUACGGCGGAUUCGAUUCCCGU
Molecule: non-coding RNA, 58 nt
Organism: Aedes albopictus (Asian tiger mosquito)
Lineage: Eukaryota; Metazoa; Arthropoda; Insecta; Diptera; Culicidae
Source: Rfam